RNAcentral lists this ribosomal RNA (214 nucleotides) under uncultured bacterium. Its description in RNAcentral is "partial 16S ribosomal RNA". It matches the Rfam family "Bacterial small subunit ribosomal RNA", at positions 524 to 735 of the family's 1533-position model. The record is from RNAcentral.
GACGGAGGAUGCAAGUGUUAUCCGGAAUCACUGGGCGUAAAGCGUCUGUAGGUGGUCAAAUAAGUCAACUGUUAAAUCUUGAGGCUCAACCUCAAAAUCGCAGUCGAAACUAUUAGACUAGAGUAUAGUAGGGGUAAAGGGGAAUUUCCAGUGGAGCGGUGAAAUGCGUAGAGGAUUGGAAAGAACACCGAUGGCGAAGGCACUUUACUGGGCU